Molecule: transfer RNA, 74 nt
Filed under: Spirochaetales bacterium
Lineage: Bacteria; Pseudomonadati; Spirochaetota; Spirochaetia; Spirochaetales
Also listed under: 2 other names
Description: tRNA-Met
Rfam family: tRNA
About the family: Transfer RNA (tRNA) molecules are approximately 80 nucleotides in length.
Source: RNAcentral
GGGCCCAUAGCUCAGCUGGUUAGAGCAUCCGGCUCAUAACCGGGCGGUCACUGGUUCGAAUCCAGUUGGGCCCA